This is a non-coding RNA of Acanthosepion pharaonis, 106 nucleotides long. The record is from the annotation of a GenBank genome assembly. NCBI's taxonomy places the organism in Eukaryota, Metazoa, Mollusca, Cephalopoda, Sepiida, Sepiidae.
GAUCAAAUAACCUUGAACACACCGGUUCUCGUUCGAUCACCGAAGUUAAACGAAGUUGACCCAGGUCAGUACUGAGAUUAAACUUGGGAAUACCUGGUACUGUAAG